UACAUUUUAAGGUCUGCAUUAUUUUUUUAUAUUUGUAAUUUUUCUCAUCCUUUUUUGUUUCCACUUCAUGCAACCUCACGUGAAUAAGAAUAACUUGAAAUUUAAGAUAAUGGAAUAGAGAUUAAACUUACUUCAGCCAGAGGAAAACAUAUAGCACAAUGCUGACGAGAUUUAAGAAAUAUUAAGGCCGAAGGCAGAGAACGAGUUCAGUUCAUUUAGCAGACGACUUUAAUAUUUUUUAUUUUCGGCUAUUCCAAUCGUUUGGGAAUCGUUUGGGCAAGUUUAGGAAAUCGCUCUUAUAAUUUGGGAAAUAAUAGUUUAGUCGGAAUUAAUAAAUAAAAAUUGGGUGUUGAGCUAGCAGACAUAAUGUUAAAAAUCACUUUUUCGUACGUCAAUCGACUCGAAAUCAUUUGGGAAACACGCUCGUAAAAUUUCAGAGUUUGGGAAAUAAUAAUUUUAUCGUAAUUAAUAAAUAAAAUUAGUAUCUGAAAAUUCCCUAUGAAGUUUCGCGGAUGUUCAAUUAGCAGACAUAAUGUCAAAAAUAUUUUUUUUCUUACACCAAUCGAUUCGAAAUCAUUUGAGAAACACGUUCGUAAAAUUUCAGAGUUUAGGAAAUAAUAAUUUCGUUGUAAUAACGAAAUAAAAGAAAUUAUUUUCAAAAUAAUAAUUUCGUUGUAAUAAUAAAAUACUGAACGCAUCUAUUCACGGGCAAUGUACAACGUUUGUAUUCGGUGUCAUCUGUCAUUCGGUGCGUGGUUCGUCUAUCGCUAUUUUAUCAGCAUUGCCAAAGAAGUCUUCCUUUAUCAUAUGGCAUUUAAAAAAUUAGACGAAAGAAAAUGUGAGAGACCAAAAUGAAUGCUGAGAGAUUGCCACCAUUGGAAUCUUUGACUACUGUGGAGGAAACAGUGAUCUGACAAAGCUAUGGAAUCCUUAAGAAAUGUCACGGCCCAGCACAGUCCUGCAGAUUUGAUAGAGCACUUUGUGCCAUGCUUUUGGUGCAACGCUUUAGGAAACUGAUUUACAUCAAGAAUAUUAGCAUGCAGCUUGUUCACACACACACACACACACACACACACACACACACACACACACACACACACACACACACACACACACACACACACACACACACACACACACACACACACACACACACACACACACACACACGCACACCUGAAUAUACCCUAUUUUAAAUACAUUCAAAUGAGAGUAUUAUAUCCUAUGUAUUACAAAGUUCAAGGCUAGGCCCAAAAAUUAAUCCACGUAAGAAAAGGUAUAUAUUGUACAAAAAUAUUUUAUUACUUGAUCUUAUUCUUCAUAUGUAGUAUACAACAUAGUAUAUAUAGUAUACAACAUGCAGAAGAGAUAUUGUUACAUUAUAGAUGGUUAAUAUUGUAAUGAGAAAAAAUGAGUCAACAAAAUAUUUGUAAUGUUUGCAGUUACAAA
Monomorium pharaonis (pharaoh ant) is the source of this 1449-nucleotide long non-coding RNA. RefSeq lists it as uncharacterized. The transcript is spliced from 4 exons. NCBI's taxonomy places the organism in Eukaryota, Metazoa, Arthropoda, Insecta, Hymenoptera, Formicidae. The record is from RefSeq and is a predicted model, not a curated record.